This 7465-nucleotide long non-coding RNA is filed under the name Gallus gallus (chicken). RNAcentral describes it as "lncRNA (ENSGALG00010003207.1)". Lineage: Eukaryota; Metazoa; Chordata; Aves; Galliformes; Phasianidae. The record is from RNAcentral.
CCCAGAGUUGUUUUCUGCAUUGCCACCAGGCUGCUGUGGUUUCACUGGGGUUGCUUUGAGUGCAAAGGGCUGCGGAAGUUCUUUACCACGAGACUGAAGUGCUGGAACAGGCUGCCCAGAGAUGCUAUGGGUGCCCCGUCCCAUGAGGUGUUCAAGGCCAGCCGAACUUGCAAGAGAAGAUACACACUGCAGUGACCCAGCAAGAAAAGCAGCUGGCAGCUCAGGAGACAGGCACCAAUAUGCACCUGUCAUUGACAACACGCUCAGAACAUGGCCAAUUUCAAUGUAAAGGUGCAGCUCAAUGUGGAGUCACAUAUGUUGCCUACGAUCAGCACCACUGUGUGGUAUUGCAGAGAGGUUUUAGUAAGCAUGACUUUGCUUCACUUUGGAGAAGGCCGAGUCGGAAGAGUCACCACAAACGUGCACCAAACGACAGAUCUGUAGCGAGGCUCUACAGGCCUGAAACACGGGGUGAACUGCAUCGCGGUGAAGCCCAUCAGGGUACUGUGAGCACUGAAACAGGCUGCCCGGGGCAGUGGGCACGGCCCCGAGCUGUCAGAGUUCAAAAAGCGUCUGGAGAACGCGUAGGAAGGUGCGCGCGUAACACGACGCGUGGCCGUGAGGGCCGUGAGGGCCCCGCGGGGCCUUGCCGGGGCCACCGCCGUGCAGUGCUGCCGAAGCGCCACCAGAGGGCGGCAGAGCGCGGCUCCCGCCGGUGCCUCCCGGUAUCCCCGCGCUGUGCCGGCGGCAGGGGGCACGCGGGCCGCCCUCUGCGCCUCGGAGCAAUCAGCAAGAGCCUUGACAAGUGCUGCCAUAAGGAUCUGACUAUCUGGCUUUUUUGAAUGAUUCCUGAAGGCUGCGAUUCAAUGUCUCCAUGUAAUGGAAUUGAUUUCCUUCAGUUAAGUUGGUUUCUCCCUUGGUUUUCCGUGAUGGCUUUAACCUGCAGCGCCAUGAGCAGGCAAUCUGAAGGCUGUGGUUGGUGACUCAUGCCAUUAGUUUUGCCUCUGGCAUUGCUACGGAAAAUCCAUUUCCGUCCAAACUGAAGCUGUCUGUUGAGCGUUAUGUAGUGUGCUGCCUUCGUUUUCUUUUCAAUGAAAAGCUCUUCCAUCUAGAAAUACACGUUCAGACUCUUGCAUUCCAGGUAUGUUUCUGGGGAAGACUGGAAAUACUUUUAACCUUCUCCUCACGGAAUGUAUGAAGGCUGCUCCGAAAGUAAUGCCUCCUAUUUAUUCCCAUGGAAACUGCAACAGUUACAAAGAGUACAAUAACACCGUUUGAUAGAACAAAUUCUCAGCUACAAAGCACUAUUUUUCAACAUGGUUGCCAUCAUUAGCUAUGCAUUUUCAUCCGUGAUGCACAAGAGCCUGUCCAGAACAUAGCUUAUCUUUCACGUUGCUGUUGAAAUGCACCACGCACCCACUCACUGUUCUCACAUCCACUGUUUUGUCUCCAUAAAUGUUCAGCAAGCGUCCAUGAAUGUCAGUGGGUGCCAUUUUUUCUGCGUGGAGAAAUCUGAUGAGACACCUUUCUUUCAUCCACCCUGCCUUGUCACAGACCAUUGUGUACGACUGUCCCUCUGCUGCCAUCUGUCACAUGGCAAUAACAUGUAACAGAAUAUUGGUAGGAAGGUUCAACCUCCACUGCCGUACCACCAGCAUCUACCUCUGAUGUUGUGGGCCAACAUAAUAAAAUAGGAGGCAUUACUUUUGGAGCAGGCCUUGCAUUUAGGGAGACAUUCCUCAAGGAUCAGUUUGACAUGGAUGCGUGAGGCAGGAACUCUUGAAUUUCACCGUGUCGAACAUCCAGGUCUUGGUGCCUGUGAGAUGAGUUUUCUCUUCUAAACAGUGGAAGUUAUCUCCUCUCCGCCUUCUUUCUGCCUGCCUUUCAUCCCAGCAAGGCAGGAAACUGGCUUUGCUAAUUCUUUAGAGAUCUCUGUGGCUUCCUAUCACUUACCUACCAGGUCUUUCUCCAGUAAUCUAUGAAGUCUUCUGUGAUGACAAGUGAGAAAUCUGGUGAUUGCUGCACAUCAGGUAUCAGUCGUGGAAGGCACACUCUGGUCUGGGAGCUGGAGGCAGGAAGCUCCUUGGCCUGUAAUCCUACAUUUCUGCUUUAACAGCACAUACAAUUUGAGAUAGCUGUGAGCAAACAAAGCUGAAGGUUGGAAUUCAUGAAAAGAGAAGCGUUGUUUUUGCUAAUUGGCUAACAUCUGAAGGGUUUGGCAAUGUGAUUACCAGCUGCUAUAGUCUGCAAUUGAUGUCACCUUCUCUUUGUAUAUAAACAUUAGUCAUUUGCUAAAGAAUGUGAAAAACAGGUGUUCCCUGUUCAUUGGAAACCUAUUCUUUUAAUGGGAUACUAUAAGAUAGCACCUGACAUAGAACAAUCCCUCGUAUGUUUGGUGUUAUUAACAUAAACACACUUGAACAGUUCCUUAUGCGGUGCCAUUGGUAUGCGUAGCACAGAAAAGAUAAACAAAAUGACAGAUGCCUAAACCAGAUGAAACUACAAUUAACCUAAUGACAGACAAAAAUAAAGGAAGUGUGGCAGGAAAAUGUGAAGGAACAUAAAAAUCACUGCAAGCUGCACUCGUUAGCUUUGUUUUUUUCUUUUUAAAGAAGUACUUCUACAGUUUGUAGCCAAUACAGGAAGUGAAGGUUGAAGCUGUAACCUUGCAGAGGGAAAUUUGGCUUCCAGACGUGACUCUUUGAAAAGGUUUUGGAAUACAGGAGUGCUCUGCACACAGGAUGAGAAAAGACAUUGAAGAAUAAGCAGUAUGCAUGGAAAAUAACCCACAGUGAUUAGCGGAAAAAGGGAAUAAAGCUAUGUCCCAUAGGCGUGCCCUCUGGAGAGCUUCAACUCAACCUUCUUAUCAGCUGUAGAGCGCAGCAGGAAAAUUGGUACUGUGGCUCUGUAUGCACUCAAACUGGUAUGUUUAGCUUGAAUUUCCACGAACAGAUUUCUUUAGAAAAUUUCGAAUUUGUGCACAAGAUUAAAUUCAAUAGGCAUUAAAUAAAAUAUACCUAAAUGAGAACGUACUAAUAAAAAGCAGCUAUUUGUCUACAGCAAGCUUUAAACGUUCCCAAGCAGCGUGCUCAAGGACAUUCACAUGGAGCUGCUUUGGCAGAGCAGAGGCUCGCUAGGUCAGAACAAGGCUCCCUGCUUCCAUCAGUAGAGCUGCUGAGUGCAGGCAGAGCACUGGAUUCACCCAGUGGGCUCUGGGUGCCCCAAGCCAGCCCAAGGGCCAGCAGCUCAGCUCCCGCUCUCACACCCCCAUGGGAUCCAGUUAUCAUAAAACUGUGUUCUGAAGAUAAAAAAUGAUCCAAGGGAUGGAACAUCUCCCCUAUGAGGACAGGCUGAGGGAGUUGAGGAUUUUCAGCCUGGAGAAGAGAAGGCUCCAGGGAGACCUGGUAGUGGCCUUUGAGUAUCAAAAGAGGGGCUGUAAGAAAGAAGGGAACAGACUCUUUUGCGGGGUCUGCUGUGAUAGAAAAUGGGAAAAUGGUUUCAAACUAAAAGAGGGAAUAUAAGGAAGAAGCUUUUAAGAAUAAGGAUGGUGAGGCACUGGCACAGGUUGCUCAGAGAGGUGGAGGAUGCCCCAUCCCUGGAGAUACUCAAGGUGAGGCUGAAUGGGGCUCUGAGCACCUGAUGGAGCUGUAGGUGUGCCUGUCCAUUGCAGGGGAGUUGGACUUGAUGGCCUUUAAAGGUCCCUUCCAACUUAACCCAUUCUAAGAUUUAUGAAGAUUAGAGGGGUAGCUUUGAAGAUUGAGGUUACAAUGAGAUGAGGCAUGCUCAGAACAACACAGUUCCAAAUUAAAAGUAAGGUUAAUUUUUGUUCUCGUAAUCAAAGUUACGUUUUUAAUGCAGGAGAUAGACAACUACCUAACAGUGCGGAACGCUCAGCUGCGGGUGAGCAAUCAAGCAGUGCCCCAGUAGAGCUAAAACAUUUUGCUGGGUUUGUGACAGCAUCUUUUUUUUCUCUUUUUUUUUUUGGUCUGUCACAAAUUGCCAUCGUCUCACAGCCAAAAUUGUUGGAAUUUUUUCCAUUGUGCACGAAGCAUUUUUAAACAAUAAUUCCAUCUAUUCUUAGCGAGAUGUUCUUUGGUGUGAAUUCUAUCUAUUGUUAGAAAGUGCUUUUGAGAAAAUAUGAUUCUAAUCUUAUGGCUUUUUGCCUUGAUAUCAAGAGACUUACUACCAAAUAUGCAGUCAUAUCUUUUGUUAAUAGAACCAAGUUACAGGAUCUAUUCAUAGAGCAGUAAUAAAUAAUGGUGGCAGCGGGGAGGGAUAUAUGUCAUUUUAGUUCUAGAAAACUGAUACUCCCAAAGGAUAAUGAUAUGAGGAAAAUUAGCUGCUGUCAACCUAGUUCAUAUAUAGUCUGUAUUGUAGGGAAAAAGAAUGUAUUGGAAUAAACUCUGUGGAAAGAAAAAUGACAUUUAUAAGUAAGUUUUUCCAGCCAAAAGACAUUUUUUUUCUAUUUCAGCCCCAAAGUGCACCCCUGACAUUUGCAUCGAGGGGCAUAUUUAGAUAUUUAGUGCAGUACAGUCCCAAAACUUUAUCAGAACGUUGAAAGCUGUUGUAAACAAGGAAACCAAAGUCAGGAGUCUCUCAGCAGAAAAGAGAACACCACCUGAAAUGGUUGCUGCUCAGUGUCUAGGCUUUCCUUUAUUCCCAUGGCAGAGUACAGGCCAUGCUAAGCAAGCUGAUCAAAACUGCAGAGGAGCUAGUGGUGGGAGAAAAACACAUCAUCAUAAUGUAUGCCAAGUGGAGGGUGGCAGGGAGACCCAACGGAGUGCCGUGCUUUUCACAUACACAACUUUCACAUUCUGAAUAAUUGUAACUUCCCUCAGUGUGACUCCCACAUUGCUCUAUCAGACCUGAUAAUGAAGUUAAAUCAGUCCAGUCCUCGAUCUCCGAUUUAGGCAGAUGUUAAAAUGAUAUCUCACUGCUUCUCAUGCACAUCUCAUGCGCUGUUUUUUGGGUGUUUGGGUUUUUUGUGCUGAUUUGGUUCCAGGGAACAUGCAACGACCUACAGAUUUGUUUCCCUAAUCGUGUCAGCUAUUGGCAGUACUGGUGUCCAAGACCUGUAAACCAAGUUUUGUGUGCAGCCCACUUUUUGAGGACAGCCAGGCCAGAAAGCUGUGCAUGGCAGACUGGAUGUCUGUAGGAGCCAGCAACUGUGAAUACAAAAAAGCUGCAGUCCCUCAACUUCUCCCCACAGGUUUCCCCUGGCAAUCCUGGCAUUGGAUCUUGUGAAGGAAACACCUGGCCCUUGGACUACACAAAGUCUAACAUCAGAGGCGCCAAUCAGCACUGUGAUGGUGAGCCAGAAAGGUCUGCAGCAUGCUUGCUGCCAUCUUAAACCUUUCAGCUUUGGUUUUGAUAGAACUUUUCCUGUUUCAGUUAUGCAUUCCAAAAGCUGAAAGCGUCUGGCGAAUGAAGCAAGAAACUGCACAAAGGGAAAGUCUGGUGAUUCAGUCAGCUGCUCCAUGCCCAGAGAAGUGGCCUACGGCCCUGCCCUUCCCACAGCACUCUCCAUUCCUCAUGCUGGUGGCCAGCCAUCUACUACAGACAUUACUGAAGAGCAGUACUUGCAUCGUCGCCUUUAGGCAACUGAAAAGUAUGACUGACAUAAAAAUCCAGAGCUUUCAAAUCCAGAGGCCCUCAUUGCUGGUAGAAACAAGAGAGGGAAAUAUAUUCAUAUUCUAGACAGGCACUAGAGAGAGGUUCUCUGCUUGAAACUGGACUAAAUCUACAGCUUCAUACAUCGACAUGAAGGGAGGAGUAACUCAGCACUUCUCUCUCCAGCAUCACAAGGCUCUGAAGGUACUGCCUUUGACAGACUUUUUUUCUCUGAGUGGAUGAGUUAUUGAUCAAGUAAGAGAUAAAAAAAAUAGGCACUUACUUUGUGCCACAUUGCUCUGAUCAGUGAUAGAAGCUCACUGCUGGAUACCGAUCUUAAUACAAUCUCAUGAACUCAGCAGAUCCUUUUCCUUAGUCUGCACUAAUGUCAUAUUAAGUGUCUUUGUGUUUUUUACCAUAUUAAGCAUUUCUGAAACUUGAAGAUUGAUUUUGGUUUGAUUUUAAAGGGCUGAGAGAUUUUAGAAUUAGAUUUUAAUAGCCAAUUAUAGAUUAUUAAACAGUGGAAAAAAUUUAAAGCCAUUAAAAUAAUCUUUUAAACCUUCCUUAAAAUUACAUGCGAUCCACUGAGAAUAUUCGUCCAGCUGUAUUUGAAAAAUAUUAAUUGGAAGUCAGUGCAAAUAUAAAUGCUAAUGUGAACUUAACCAGAACGUGAGGGUUUCUGAACUGGAAAAGCUCUCAGAGCACACAGAAGUCACCUGUCAAGGUGGUUUUGGGACAACCAUAUGUACUAUGGGAUGACGGAGGGCAAAAAUUACGGAGGGCCACUAUGUGACUAAUUCUGCUUACUUCUAUUUUGUUUGUUUGAACAUCAGAAAUUCCUCACACGUAUCCUGUGUCUUCCAGUGAUUUGUUACACCUCUGUAAAAUACUGAUUUCAUUCCUAAGGGUGUUUCUGCCUUUAAAGAGCAGUAUCUGUCUGGCUCAGUUGGCAGUGCUGACCGGAAUAAAAACAAACAAACAACAAAAAACAAAAAUAAAUGAACAAAUAAAUGAAAAACAUCCCUGAUCAAAUAUCAGUAACUGUUACAGAACAGGAACUAAAAGAGGGGCGAUUUAGGUUAGAUGUUAGGAGGAAAUGCUUUCCCCAGAGGGCAGUGAGGUGCUGACACAGCUGCCCAGAGAAGCUGUGGUGCCCCAUCCCUGGAGGCGCUCAAGGCCAGGUUGGAUGGGGCCCUGGGCAGCCUGAGCUGGUGGGGGGCAGCCCUGCCCACGAUAGGGUUUGGAGUAGGGUGGGCUGUGAGGUUCCUUCCAACCCAAAUCAUUCUGUAAUUCUAUGAUUAUGAAUGUUACAUUUCAAUUAAUGUUAUCAUAACAAUGCUAUGGAUAUGAUUUUUCUUAUCUCAGCUUGCUGGGGAAUAGUGUAAAGAAUUUUCUGAAUGGGUAUAGCCUUUGGGGUGCCUGAGAUAAAGUAUUUUCACACACAUCCACCCCAUGUGAAACGUGCAGAAAGCCAAAAUAAACCACUGAAUUGGAUUUUGCCUUCGCUUCAGGAAGGACAGAAUAGUAGGGACUAUUUCUCAUACUUGAUCGCUAAUUUGUUGGCCAGUCAUCGUGGCAAUUAAGGAAAAAUGAUCACCUCAGUCCAAGCUGAGUGAAAUAAAGGGGAGAUUUCUUGUUAUGGCUGGGAAAAUCACAGAAAGCGUCACAGAAAUACGGAAGGAGCUAUGAUGGAUAUGCAUGGAGAAGACAGAGAACAAAUGCAGCAAAUAGGAAGCAUCAACUACUGAUAUGACAGAGAUUCAGAAUCACAGAAUGUCUUAGGUUGGGAGGGACAUCAAAGCCUACCCAGUCCCAACCCCUGCUGUGAACAGGGCUGCCCUCCACCAGCUCAGAC